Molecule: ribosomal RNA, 254 nt
Filed under: uncultured bacterium
Lineage: Bacteria
Description: partial 16S ribosomal RNA
Rfam family: Bacterial small subunit ribosomal RNA
Source: RNAcentral
CACGUAGGGUGCGAGCGUUGUCCGGAAUUAUUGGGCGUAAAGAGCUCGUAGGCGGUGUGUCGCGUCGGCCGUGAAAACCUGCAGCUUAACUGUGGGCUUGCGGUCGAUACGGGCAUCACUGGAGUUCGGCAGGGGAGACUGGAAUUCCUGGUGUAGCGGUGAAAUGCGCAGAUAUCAGGAGGAACACCGGUGGCGAAGGCGGAUCUCUGGGCCUUACCUGACGCUGAGGCGCGAAAGCUAGGGGAGCAAACAGG